RNAcentral lists this long non-coding RNA (389 nucleotides) under Medicago truncatula (barrel medic). RNAcentral's name for it is "long non-coding RNA (MTRU_LNC007212)". The record is from RNAcentral. Lineage: Eukaryota; Viridiplantae; Streptophyta; Magnoliopsida; Fabales; Fabaceae.
CGUGUGUAGAUCCAGAGGAAGUUGGAAUAAAUAUGGCAUAGCUUUGGCGGUCAUCCCCUGCCCCCGGAGAGUAUCACCGUGAAUAAUUACUCAUAUAUAUCAGCCAGAGAAGCCUGUGACUCAUACACUAUCAACCAUAGUGUAUACCAGAAAGAAACUUCGUCUAACACCAGAUCUUGUUGAAGCUCAGCCAGGGCCUGAAAGAGAUCAGUAAACCAACGCUUCUCCCUCUCCAGACUCAAGCCAUGAUCCAGUUCCAGACAACAUGCCUGAGGUAGGCCAUUAUUCCUCUCGUCCUGUUCAAGGCUUUGCUCAAGAAUAAAUAUUGGAUAGAUUGGGAGGAAACCUUAACUUCAGUUUGUGAAGAUUCGGACUUUACUGGCUAUUGC